GAAUAAAAAUAAAACAUAGCAAGCAAACAAAGAACUGAUUUCAACACAACAAUCUGUGGCCCUUUCCGUCCACACCAAUCAACAAAAUAAAUGCCCAGAACCAUCAGAGAAUCAUCAAGAAUCGAACAUAAGAUAAAACAUAGAAGAUAGUUGAAAACGUACCUGGGCAGUCUCCACCCAAUUACUUGGCUAUUUCGCUACAGUUCCUCUCCAAAAUCUCCCAAAGAAAACCUAGUGAAUCGCUCUCUCUUUUCUUUGAAGAUAAACCUUUCUCCUUCGUUCUCGCUCUUGUGUGUUUUCCACAAAAACCAUCAAAGAAACACUGUAAAACACUGGAAGUGAACCUAAAGACAUGUGCUAAAGGGACAAAAUAGAGGGUCUACAAUGCCCUUUCCUGGAGAAGACUUUGGAUAAUGAAAGAUCCUAUGAACAACUUGUAGAUGAGUCUCCUUCAAGCUAUGCAUGAAUUGGCUUAUGACUC
Molecule: long non-coding RNA, 481 nt
Filed under: Vitis vinifera (wine grape)
Lineage: Eukaryota; Viridiplantae; Streptophyta; Magnoliopsida; Vitales; Vitaceae
Description: long non-coding RNA (VVIN_LNC006992)
Source: RNAcentral